UUGUGACGGUUAACUAUUAAGAGAUAAGAAAAGUGUACGUAAGAAUCAGGGUAAGCCAACACUGCAGAGUGUCCGGCCUUGGUUGUCACAUCGCUGUUGCAAUAAAGACUGAAUCUUAAGAUCUACGCAACUCCUGAUUGGCUGGGAAGGAAAAACCACAAUAGACUCAGCAUGUGAACACACCGGGUUUCGGCGUAAACGAAACCGAAAGUGCGGAGCUUUACUAGACGUGGAGCGGAAGAUCGAUCGGACCAGUCGAAGGUUUUACAAAGCCUGGAAUGGAACCUAGAACCAAGUCAUAUAGAGAUGCUCUUCAGCAUCGAACUCGGCAAGAACUGAAUAAGGUUACAACAUCAUCUGAAUCUGGGGCUCGCUUACCAGAGCCGGCUCCUGUAGAGAAUGAUCAGAAAGCCAAGCUGAAGGAAUCUCUUCGGAACCUUCUGGAACAACAUCCAAAAGGUGUCCUAUUGUCACAGGUUCGGAAGUCCUGCCCUAUGAUUUAUGACCCAGUUCUUUUGAAUAGCUUUGUGUCUACUAAACAUCUGCUAGCUUCCCUGACGGAUGUGCUGGUACUGAGGGGCAUUGGUGUCCAGACCCGUGUCUAUCCAGCUAGUCAAUAGAACCUCACUGCAAUAUAGUUAACAGAGUUAUACAGAGAAUAAAAUGGCUGGAUCCCUUUAUUUUCUGGAACAGGCACACCUUUCAUUAACUAAACAUAAGUGGUGUGUAUAUUGUGUACUGAUGUCAUACAAAAUCAUAAGCAAAAUGGUCAUAAUUUAUAAAAAAAAACAUAAAGCUCUGGUAGAAAUUAUUUAGGAUUUUUUUUUGGAAAAUUUGAGCAUUUGUUUUAAGAUGUUUGAUGUAAAUUUCUGUUAGAUUCAUUGUUGUGUAGAAUGUUUACAAGCCUUGCAAAUUUGAUUUUUUAAUAGAUACUGUUUCAGCAUUACUUACAACAAUAACCGAUAUCAUAAUUCAUCAUUACAAUACAAGAACUGUGAGCGUGAUCAUUAGACAGUUUACAGACCUGUAACAGAAUGAAGACAGCAUAAUAUGAGCUGUAAAAAUGAAGUCACCUGUAUAUUUUUGUUGAUUUAAAUUAUACUCAAGUCAAAGGUUUGUGUCUGUGAGUUCCAUAAAAGCAGUAUUUGGUAUCAGCAAUAUCAUAAAGGUUAUUAAUUAUCUUUUAAUUUCAAACUUUUCAAAACGAUGCUGGAUUUGUUUUCUCUGAUGUCCUAGGAGGUUGUGUGCCUCUCCUGUCUGUGUGGAUCACAAAAUAUUGUACAGGUUUCAUAUUACUCCAGUUAUGUGAAGCAGGAUAGACCUCUAUGCCAUUAAUAUUUCUACUUGUUUUGGGAAUGCACACACAUUUUACAUUUCUGGUCCUGUAUUGGCACAGAGAUUAGUAUUCUUACAGUUUUACUGAACUGCUAAAAUGAAUUUCCUAAACUCCCAUCUCCUUUUCUCAGAACACUGAACCCUAAAAUUCAAGCUACACUCACAAAACUCAUCUUGCAAAAUCAAACAAUCUUCUCAAAACUAUGUUAUCUUUGCUCAGAAGCAAACGCUGCUUUCAGAUCAUGCAUCAAACCAUUUAGUUAAGUAAACACUACUGAACAGUCAUUACACACUAAAGCAUAAAAUUAAAAACAGUCAAAACUCUUGCUGGCAUGUAGAGAAGUUGGAUGCUGUGGAUGUGGUCUUUUGCACAUUGAAUCCAUAUGAGAGGCACAUUACAGUAAAAUGUUUUGCAACUGCCAAGCCAAAGUCAAGGAAGAAUAUUCAUUCUGCAUGUCUCAGGGCUGGGUCUGGACAGAGAACUUUGUCUACAUCACAGGAAAUGCUCUCCCUUGCUGGGCGAUGCGGGAAGAAUCCUUUAUGUGACUCAUUUGUACCUUGACAUCAAAAUUCAUCCCAUCUAUGCCAUGUAUUCUAUGUUCUAGUCACUCUUUGGCUUCUUCUAAUAUUUAGAAACAUAUGUAAACAUAUGAGUUGAGUCAUUGUGUUUAAAUGAUGUCUACUGUGCUCCGGCUGUGCUUAAGUUUUGCAACCUGCGUGUUCUGUUUUGCAUCUAAGUUCUGCAUAGUUUUGAUGAAUGAGAAUGUGUUUAUAGUUUUGCAAAAAGGGUGACUCAGAUCUGCAAAUUGUGUCUAACGAGGUGAGCACUGUUUAAAGUUUCACAAAACUAGUGACUGAUUCAAUAAAGGAGUUUUGGCAAUUGGUA
This is a long non-coding RNA of Paramormyrops kingsleyae, 2221 nucleotides long. RefSeq lists it as uncharacterized. The record is from RefSeq and is a predicted model, not a curated record. NCBI's taxonomy places the organism in Eukaryota, Metazoa, Chordata, Actinopteri, Osteoglossiformes, Mormyridae.